AUGACGGGGGCGGACGACGGCGAGGGUGGCGACGGCGCCGCGGCCGAGGAGGCCCUGGUGUCGCCCGAGCAGCGGCAGCACGACCCCGUCAUCCAGGGCAGGGGACUCACCGAGGAGGAGAAGAAGCGCUUGGCGCUGCACAGGCAGCCCAGCAAGGAGAUGGAUCUGGAUGACCUACUUCCACAGGUGGGAGAGUUUGGGCGGUACCAAAAGAUACUUCUUUGGUUUGUGUGUCUGCCUGCCUGCAUUCCUUGUGGAUUUUGUGCUUUCAAUCAGCUAUUCAUGGCAGACACUCCACCUCAUUGGUGUCGAAACUUGGAGUUAGAAAAUGUACUGCCCAACAUCUCACAAGAGCACAGAAAAAUGCUCUCUAUACCUGCAGAUGGGCCAAACGGCACCUACAGAAGCUGUGCUCGCUAUUCUGUCAAUUGGACUGCUUUGUUAAAAAGCAUGUCUCCUUAUGAUUUAGAGCCUAACUCAUCCUGGGCGACAGAGCCUUGCUAUGAUGGAUGGGAGUAUGACACAUCCGAGAUAACUUCCUCAAUUGUCAUUGAUUUCGAUUUAGUUUGCAGUAAAGAUAUCUACCCUACUAUAGGACUUGCUGCGCUCAAUACAGGAGGACCAGUAGGAGUUUAUUUGUUCGGCGUUCUUAAUGAUAGACUUGGGAGAAGGUUGUCUUUUUUCCUUUGCCUGGCAACUUUGAUUAUUGGAAGUAUAUUUACUGCAGCAGCCCCUGAGUUUUGGUCCUGGGCUGUCUCACGAAUUGUCGUGGGGCUCACAAUACCUGCUAUCUACCAAAUUCCCUUUAUUAUAUCAUUGGAAUUAGUAGGCCCAAAUUACAGGUCGUUUGUCACUGUUAUGACUUGUCUUUUCUACACUUUGGGGCUGGUUCUCCUAGCGGGGGUGACUUAUUUAGUGCGUAACUGGGUCACUCUUGCACUGGCUACAUCAUUACCAUUUCUGGUGUACUUCAUAUACUGGUGGUUUCUUCCUGAAUCACCUCGCUGGCUUCUUGCCAAAGGUCGUCUAGAGGAGGCUUCAAAGGUGCUGGAGACACUAGCAAGAGUCAAUCAACAUGAACUUCCUGAAAGCUUUAAACAAAAGUUGAAACAAAGAAUGAUGCUACAUCGAACUAAAAGUGAAGAAAAGCGACUUAAAGAGGGUCCCAGUGUUUUUGCAUUAUGCAAAACCCCUAAUAUGCGUCUGAAAACUACCCUCAUCACACUGAACUGGUUUGCUAAUAACAUGGUGUAUGUUGGUCUGAGCUAUUAUGGGCCAGCUCUAGGAAAUAAUGAGUACCUAAGUUUCCUUUUGUCAUCAUUAGUUGAAAUUCCAAGCUACUUGGCAUGCUGGGUUGUCAUGGAUUGGUGGGGUAGAAGAUGGCCCCUUUCAAUUUGUAUGAUACUCAGUGGAAUAAGCUGUAUUGUCACAGUCCUUUUGCCAGAAGAUGCUGUCACAGCCACAUUAGUGCUUUACUUAUUUUCUAAAUUUGCUAUUUCGGCUUCAUUUUUAAUUAUCUACCCAUUUGCUGGCGAACUCUAUCCAACCCAGAUGAGGGGUGUUGGAAUUGGAGCUUCAGGUUACAUAGCUGGCCUUGGUCUAAUUUUGAUACCAUUUAUUACAUAUUUGGGAAGGGAAAAUUUAGUACUGCCUCUAGUUAUAAUGGGAGCUAUAUCUGUGCUUGGUGGACUUACUGGAUUAAGACUUCCAGAGACACUGCAUCACAGUUUGCCCCAGACUGUGGAGGAGGGUGAAGAAUUUGGAAAAGACUGGAGCAUGGCUGACUGUGUUCAGUGUAUUCCGAAGAGACCAGUUGCUAAGGAGUCGUAUGACGAUUUGUGUGAUGUGUCAGAAAAUUUUGAACUGGCAACACUACCAACUGCACUUCAAUUACCUGGCCCUCCAGAUCAAGAAGACUCGCCUCUGACACCUUUGAAUCGAUCUUUUGAUUCGGCUGCACGCCGGUCUAUGUCUGUCAGGGGCAGUAGAGGUUCAAAAUCAAGACUUGUCAGACAAGCUAGUACAAUGGAAACCCCUAUUGACUCUUCAGGCUUUAAAAUGACAUAUUGGUUCUGAACUAGUAGACCUUUGCAUCCAGUACUUGAAAACAGUGAUUUUUUAUAGUGUCAUGAUAAAAUUUUAAAUCAAUAUAGUCAAUAGAGCAAGUUCUGUUCUUCUUAUUGGCGUAUGUUUUGUCUCAUUGGGAUAAUGUUUCCAAUACAAGUUGCACAAGAUUUGAGAGAGAGAGAGAGGGAAAGAGAAAAAUUGCCACUGCUGUUGUUGCAAAGGUCUUACAAUAAAAUUAACAAAUGAAGACUGUCCAAUAGUUGCAUCUGUGCUCGACAUCAGCUAAGCAGCCUAUGUGUCACCCGAUGUAUGCUGAGUUGGCAUCACAGCACACAGCAUGAGAAAUGGCCCCUUUUCCUCAUGAUCACAGGAAUGAAUUUGGUAUUUAGAUUCGGCCCAAGUCACCUGCAGAAACAAGGCGACUACUUGAGGAAGACUUAGUCAUCGUCACAGCACACAGCAUGAGAAAUGGCCCCUUUUUCUCAUGAUCUCAGGAAUGAAUUUGGUAUUCAGAUUCGCUCCAAGUCACCAGCAGAAACAAGCCGGCUACUUGAGGAAGACUUUACUCUUAUAAUGUAAAUGAUUUAAAACAAUAAAGAAUAAAAAAUGACUA
Frankliniella occidentalis (western flower thrips) is the source of this 2680-nucleotide RNA transcript. It is a transcript of the gene named carcinine transporter, with no coding region annotated. The record is from RefSeq and is a predicted model, not a curated record. The transcript has 15 exons. Lineage: Eukaryota; Metazoa; Arthropoda; Insecta; Thysanoptera; Thripidae.